GACGAACGCUGGCGGUGUGCUUAACACAUGCAAGUCGAACGGAAAGGCCCUGCUUUUGUGGGGUGCUCGAGUGGCGAACGGGUGAGUAACACGUGAGUAACCUGCCCUUGUCUUUGGGAUAACUUCAGGAAAGUGGGGUUAAUACCGGAUAGGAGCUCCUGCUGCAUGGUGGGGGUUGGAAAGUUUCGGCGGUUGGGGAUGGACUCGCGGCUUAUCAGCUUGUUGGUGGGGUAGUGGCGUACCAAAGCUUUGACGGGUCGCCGGCCUGAGAGGGUGACCGGCGACAUUGGGACUGAGAUACGGCCCAGACUCCAACGGGAGGCAGCAGUGGGGAAUCUUGCACAAUGAGCGGAGGCCUGAUGCAGCAGCGCCGCGUUCGGAAUGACGGCCUUCGGGUUGUAAACCGCUUUAGCCUGUGACGAAGCGUGAGUGACGGUAACGGGUAAAGAAGCACCGGCUAACUACGUG
RNAcentral lists this ribosomal RNA (468 nucleotides) under uncultured bacterium. RNAcentral describes it as "partial 16S ribosomal RNA". It matches the Rfam family "Bacterial small subunit ribosomal RNA", at positions 28 to 507 of the family's 1533-position model. The record is from RNAcentral.